UCACUUUCAAUCAUUGCAAUACAGGAAAUGUUAGAUAAAACAUGUAAAAUUCAGAAGCUUCAUUGUAUUGCCAUUUUCAUUCAGUACACAUACAAAGUAGCUACUACAGCACACUGAGUUCACCAAAAGAAGAGCUUCAACAUUGCUCAUUCAUGCAUCAGGACCUCCCAGCCAUUGCAAACAUGAUUGCAACUAAACCAAAGACUCUGCUCCAGGACCUCUUUCUCCUUUAGACUCUGCUCCAGGACCUCUUUCUUGCAAGCAAGGUGUGAUCUACCUCGUGCCGCGGCAUGCACCCACCACAUCUGGCAUCUCAUGGUCCUGUGUUUGAAUCGUGCAAAUCAUCUAAAAUACCAAUCUUUGAUGAACUACAGAAUCAGAGAGGGGAGAUGGAUUCAGUACCUGACUUUUUGCGCCAAUAGACGACAGACGUAAUCUUUGCCCAUGGCUCCCCGUCGUCCUCCAUCUUCACCCCGCGGUCGACCAUCCGCGGAAUGCCAGAUCCUCCCAUCUAAACAGUGAGACACGGGUGGGAGAGUGUGUAAGAUAGGGAUUGGAUAGGGGGAAAGAAGAGGAUGCGGCGUCAGCUCACCUGAGCUCCAGAGGCUUGCCGCCGUGGUGCAAGGAUACGGCCUCGCCGCCGACCGUGAGCAAUAUUGCCUCGCCCUGCCGCUGCAGUGAAUGGGGAACGAGGGUUAGGGAUUUGGUCGACCGGGAUUUGGGAGCGAAUCGUUAUGUGCCUUGUCCCGCCGAGCCAGGGA
RNAcentral lists this long non-coding RNA (761 nucleotides) under Triticum aestivum (bread wheat). RNAcentral describes it as "long non-coding RNA (TAES_LNC013550)". Lineage: Eukaryota; Viridiplantae; Streptophyta; Magnoliopsida; Poales; Poaceae. The record is from RNAcentral.